This 394-nucleotide ribosomal RNA is filed under the name uncultured bacterium. RNAcentral describes it as "bacterial SSU rRNA". It matches the Rfam family "Bacterial small subunit ribosomal RNA", at positions 29 to 406 of the family's 1533-position model. The record is from RNAcentral.
AACGAACGCUGGCGGCGUGCCUAACACAUGCAAGUCGUGCGAGAAAGUUCCUUCGGGAGCGAGUAAAGCGGCGCACGGGUGAGUAACACGUAGGUAACCUGCCCCCCAGUCUGGAACAACUAGAGGAAACUCUAGCUAAUGCCGGAUGAGACCACGAUCCCUUCGGGGGUUGCGGCCAAAGAUGGCCUCUACUUGUAAGCUAUCGCUGAGGGAUGGGCCUGCGGGCCAUUAGCUUGUUGGUGAGGUAACGGCUCACCAAGGCUGUGAUGGCUAGCUGGUCUGAGAGGAUGACCAGCCACACUGGGACUGAGACACGGCCCAGACUCCUACGGGAGGCAGCAGUGGGGAAUAUUGCGCAAUGGGCGAAAGCCUGACGCAGCGACGCCGCGUGGGU